GUGACCUUUAUAGCUACAUAUGUUAACAUAUGAAUGAUACAAUGGAGACUAGCAUGACCCUUGUGCAAGAAUGACUCACCAGCCCCUGAGGUAUUGCAUGUUUGU
Cricetulus griseus (Chinese hamster) is the source of this 105-nucleotide small nuclear RNA. The record is from Ensembl. Lineage: Eukaryota; Metazoa; Chordata; Mammalia; Rodentia; Cricetidae.